UAGUAUAUCGGAACGUACCCAAGAGUGGGGAUAACGUAGCGAAAGUUACGCUAAUACCGCAUACGAUCCAAGGAUGAAAUGGGGACCGCAAGGCCUCAUGCUCCUGGAGCGGCCGAUAUCUGAUUAGCUAGUUGGUGAGGUAAAGGCUCACCAAGGCGACGAUCAGUAGCUGGUCUGAGAGGACGACCAGCCACACUGGGACUGAGACACGGCCCAG
RNAcentral lists this ribosomal RNA (217 nucleotides) under uncultured bacterium. RNAcentral's name for it is "partial 16S ribosomal RNA". It matches the Rfam family "Bacterial small subunit ribosomal RNA", at positions 111 to 334 of the family's 1533-position model. The record is from RNAcentral.